RNAcentral lists this transfer RNA (24 nucleotides) under Cyprinella spiloptera (spotfin shiner). Its description in RNAcentral is "partial tRNA-Pro". The record is from RNAcentral. Lineage: Eukaryota; Metazoa; Chordata; Actinopteri; Cypriniformes; Leuciscidae.
UUCUAAAGUUAAACUAUUUUCUGA